This 467-nucleotide ribosomal RNA is filed under the name uncultured bacterium. RNAcentral describes it as "bacterial SSU rRNA". It matches the Rfam family "Bacterial small subunit ribosomal RNA", at positions 28 to 507 of the family's 1533-position model. The record is from RNAcentral.
GACGAACGCUGGCGGCGUGCUUAACACAUGCAAGUCGAACGAUGAAGCUGGAGCUUGCUCCGGUGGAUUAGUGGCGAACGGGUGAGUAACACGUGAGAAAUCUGCCCUUGACUCUGGGAUAACUGCGGGAAACUGUAGCUAAUACCGGAUACUUUCCCUGGUGGGCAUCCACUGGGGAAGAAAGAAUUUCGGUCAAGGAUGAUCUCGCGGCCUAUCAGCUAGUUGGUGAGGUAAUGGCUCACCAAGGCGACGACGGGUAGCCGGCCUGAGAGGGUGACCGGCCACACUGGAACUGAGACACGGUCCAGACUCCUACGGGAGGCAGCAGUGGGGAAUUUCCGCAAUGGGCGAAAGCCUGACGGAGCAAUACCGCGUGAGGGAAGAAUGCCUAUGGGUUGUAAACCUCUUUUUUCAGGGAGGAAUAAAAUGACGUGUACCUGAAGAAUAAGCAUCGGCUAAACUCCGUG